AAUUUUAUCUCAUUCAAUUAUUAAUUAAAAUUUCAAUGUAAAUUUAGCUAUGAGAAGAUUCAAAAAUACAAAAAUUGAUGAAUAUAAACAUUUUGUCAUCGAUGGGAAUAUUGCAAAAUAAUGUCACAGUUGCCAACAAAAUAAAGGAGUAAAUGUUUUGCCAAUGAAAAAUUUAGAUGAAUUAUAAAGAUGGAAAUUCUCUUUUGAAAACUGAUGUAUUCCUUAUAAUGGAUCAUAAUUUCGAUCUAUCCUUGAUGGCUUGUGGUGUCACUUCAAUGAUAAGGGCGAAAGUAUCUUAUCUUGAAUAAUUCUCCAUACUUUUUAGAACUCGGUCUAUUUUUACGAUUAUUUUUCACAUUUUUUUUAAUGGAAAUUUAAUUUGAAAGUAGGGAUCUCCGAGGGCUAUUUUGUUUGGGAGAAUUUUUUUUGAAGCUGAAAAUUCGUUAUUUAGCGCCAUUUAAGGAAAUAAUGUGAAUAGUGACAAUUAAAAUUACAAACAUCAGUUAUUUGAAUUUCAUUUAUUAACAAAAAGUGACAAUUUUUGGUGAAUUUUAAAAGAGAAAAUUUUUUAAAAAGUUUAGAAUCAGUGCGUGUUUUUAAAAUCGUGUGAAUUUUCCAAUCACCUUGGGGGUACUACUUCUAGACAACAAAUGAAUCGUCUAGCGAGAAUGAAGACAAACGAUCAAAGUAUUGUCCCAGACUGUUCACAAUAUUGUCAUGAAUCUCCGGACUGAUCUCAAAGAGGCAACGUUGUUAUCACUUCUACAAGGAAAUCUGCGAUUGGAAUUAAGAAAACAAUGAAUCACCAGGACUUGUGUUUACAUGGUUCGGAAUAAUAAACUCAGGUAUAAGCAGGUCAUAACCGGCGAGAAGAAUAUUUUAUUAGGAUUCACAAAAUUUAAUGAAGAGUAGAUUUUAAAAUCAGUUUACGUGAUUCGUCUUAAAUAAUUAUUUUCUAAUUUUAAUUCAUUCUUUUUUGUCGUUUUUAAUCUUUAAAUUUUUUACCGGGAGUGCUCGAAUUUUCUAAAACCGCGUUCGUUUAAUAAUAAUAAUAAAUAGUAUUUAGAUUAAUUUUUAUUAUGUUUUCGGGAGUGUUCGAAAUUUUUUAAAAUCGCGAGUGAGUGUUUUUUUGAUCCAUCUGAGAUGAUA
Long non-coding RNA from Leptopilina boulardi, 1149 nucleotides. RefSeq lists it as uncharacterized. NCBI's taxonomy places the organism in Eukaryota, Metazoa, Arthropoda, Insecta, Hymenoptera, Figitidae. The record is from RefSeq and is a predicted model, not a curated record. The transcript has 7 exons.